Molecule: ribosomal RNA, 497 nt
Filed under: uncultured bacterium
Lineage: Bacteria
Description: partial 16S ribosomal RNA
Rfam family: Bacterial small subunit ribosomal RNA
Source: RNAcentral
GAUGAACGCUGGCGGCGUGCCUAAUACAUGCAAGUCGAGCGAACGGACGAUAAGCUUGCUUCUCUGAUGUUAGCGGCUGACGGGUGAGUAACACGUGGAUAACCUACCUAUAAGACUGGGAUAAUUUCGGGAAACCGGAGCUAAUACCGGAUAAUAUUUUGAACCGCAUGGUUCAAAAGUGAAAGACGGUCUUCCUGUCACUUAUAGAUGGAUCCGCGCUGCAUUAGCUAGUUGGUAAGGUAACGGCUUACCAAGGCAACGAUGCAUAUCCGACCUGAGAGGGUGAUCGGCCACACUGGAACUGAGACACGGUCCAGACUCCUACGGGAGGCAGCAGUAGGGAAUAUUCCGCAAUGGGCGAAAGCCUGACGGAGCAAUGCCGCGUGAGUGAUGAAGGUCUUCGGAUCGUAAAACUCUGUUAUUAGGGAAGAACAUAUGUGUAAGAAACUGUGCACAUCUUGACGGUACCUAAUCAGAAAGCAACGGCUAACUACGUG